RNAcentral lists this transfer RNA (64 nucleotides) under human gut metagenome. It matches the Rfam family "tRNA", at positions 5 to 66 of the family's 71-position model. From Rfam's summary of the family: Transfer RNA (tRNA) molecules are approximately 80 nucleotides in length. Their secondary structure includes four short double-helical elements and three loops (D, anti-codon, and T loops). Further hydrogen bonds mediate the characteristic L-shaped molecular structure. tRNAs have two regions of fundamental functional importance: the anti-codon, which is responsible for specific mRNA codon recognition, and the 3' end, to which the tRNAs corresponding amino acid is attached (by aminoacyl-tRNA synthetases). tRNAs cope with the degeneracy of the genetic code in two manners: having more than one tRNA (with a specific anti-codon) for a particular amino acid; and 'wobble' base-pairing, i.e. permitting non-standard base-pairing at the 3rd anti-codon position. The record is from RNAcentral.
CGGUAGCUCAGCUGGUAGAGCAAAGGACUGAAAAUCCUUGUGUCGGUGGUUCGACUCCGCCCCG